This 402-nucleotide RNase P RNA is filed under the name uncultured Clostridium sp. RNAcentral describes it as "Bacterial RNase P class A". It matches the Rfam family "Bacterial RNase P class A". From Rfam's summary of the family: Ribonuclease P (RNase P) is a ubiquitous endoribonuclease, found in archaea, bacteria and eukarya as well as chloroplasts and mitochondria. Its best characterised activity is the generation of mature 5'-ends of tRNAs by cleaving the 5'-leader elements of precursor-tRNAs. The record is from RNAcentral. Lineage: Bacteria; Bacillati; Bacillota; Clostridia; Eubacteriales; Clostridiaceae.
GUAAGACAUGCAAUCGCUGCUAGACUUAGAUCUAGGAGAGGAAAGUCGGAGCUCCAUAGGGCAGGGUGCUGGAUAACGUCCAGUCAAGGCGACUUGAAGGAAAGUGCAACAGAGAGAUACCGCCUAAGUUAAAAGACACUCUAAAGGUAUGAUUUAGAUGUGUAAUUAUAUAUUUUAAUUUAUUAAGAUAUAUUGCUUAGGUAAGGGUGGAAAGGCGAGGUAAGAGCUCACCAGCAUCAUGGUGACAUGAUGGCUAUGUAAACCCCACCUGGAGCAAGGUCGAAUAGGGAAACAUAUUGGAGUUGCCCGCUCCGUUUCCGGGUGUACCGCUUGAGCUUAUUGGUAACAGUAAGCCUAGAUAGAUGAUUGCUUAAUACAGAACUCCGCUUACGGCUUAUCUCG